This 440-nucleotide ribosomal RNA is filed under the name uncultured bacterium. RNAcentral describes it as "partial 16S ribosomal RNA". It matches the Rfam family "Bacterial small subunit ribosomal RNA", at positions 338 to 795 of the family's 1533-position model. The record is from RNAcentral.
CCUACGGGAGGCAGCAGUGGGGGAUAUUGCACAAUGGGGGAAACCCUGAUGCAGCGACGCCGCGUGAGUGAAGAAGUAUUUCGGUAUGUAAAGCUCUAUCAGCAGGGAAGAAAAUGACAGUACCUGACCAAGAAGCCCCGGCUAACUACGUGCCAGCAGCCCCGGUAAUAAGUAGGGGGCAAGCGUUAUCCGGAUUUACCGGGUGUAAAGGGAGCGUAGACGGUUAUGUAAGUCUGGAGGGAAAGCCCGGGGCCCCACCCCGGGACUGCGUUGGAAACUGUGUUACUGGAGUGCAGGAGGGGCAGGCGGAAUUCCUGGUGUAGCGGUGAAAUGCGUAGAUAUCAGGAGGAACACCGGCGGCGAAGGCGGCCUGCUGGACUGAAACUGACGUUGAGGCUCGAAAGCGUGGGGAGCAAACAGGAUUAGAUACCCCUGUAGUC